RNAcentral lists this ribosomal RNA (287 nucleotides) under Aplanochytrium sp. PBS07. RNAcentral describes it as "partial Eukaryotic large subunit ribosomal RNA". It matches the Rfam family "Eukaryotic large subunit ribosomal RNA", at positions 656 to 951 of the family's 3401-position model. Lineage: Eukaryota; Bigyra; Thraustochytrida; Thraustochytriidae. The record is from RNAcentral.
GGAACACGGUUCAAGGAGUGUUACGAAUGUGCGAGUGUUUUGGUGAUGAAAACCAGAGCGCGAAGUGAAAGCGAAGCUAUGGUACUGCCAUCAGUAUCGGCCGAUCAUGAUCUACGGUGAAAGAUUUGAGUUGGAGCGGAUUCGUAGCGACCCGAAAGAUGGUGAACUAUGCUUGAAUAGGGUGAAGCCAGAGGAAACUCUGGUGGAGGCUCGCAGCGGUUCUGACGUGCAAAUCGAUCGUCAAAUUUGGGUAUAGGGGCGAAAGACUAAUCGAACCGUCUAGUAGC